RNAcentral lists this ribosomal RNA (459 nucleotides) under uncultured bacterium. RNAcentral's name for it is "partial 16S ribosomal RNA". It matches the Rfam family "Bacterial small subunit ribosomal RNA", at positions 338 to 795 of the family's 1533-position model. The record is from RNAcentral.
CCUACGGGAGGCAGCAGUGAGGAAUAUUGGUCAAUGGGCGAGAGCCUGAACCAGCCAAGUCGCGUGAGGGAUGACUGCCCUAUGGGUUGUAAACCUCUUUUGUAUGGGGGGAAUAAGCUUUACGAGUAGAGUGAUGACAGUACCAUACGAAUAAGCAUCGGCUAACUCCGUGCCAGCAGCCGCGGUAAUACGGAGGAUGCGAGCGUUAUCCGGAUUUAUUGGGUUUAAAGGGUGCGUAGGCGGCAUUAUAAGUUAGUGGUAAAAUAGUGGGGCUUAACCUCACCAAGCCAUUAAUACUGUAGAGCUAGAGAACAGACGAAGUAGGCGGAAUUAGUGGAGUAGCGGUGAAAUGCAUAGAGAUCACGGAGAACUCCGAUAGCGAAGGCAGCAUACCAGCCCGCGUCUGACGCUGAUGCACGAGAGCAUGGGUAGCGAACAGGAUUAGAUACCCGGGUAGUC